Molecule: ribosomal RNA, 253 nt
Filed under: uncultured bacterium
Lineage: Bacteria
Description: partial 16S ribosomal RNA
Rfam family: Bacterial small subunit ribosomal RNA
Source: RNAcentral
UACGUAGGGUGCGAGCGUUGUCCGGAAUUAUUGGGCGUAAAGGGCUCGUAGGCGGUUUGUCGCGUCGGGAGUGAAAACGCCGUGCUUAACACGGCGCUUGCUUUCGAUACGGGCAGACUAGAGGUAUUCAGGGGAGAACGGAAUUCCUGGUGUAGCGGUGAAAUGCGCAGAUAUCAGGAGGAACACCGGUGGCGAAGGCGGUUCUCUGGGAAUGACCUGACGCUGAGGAGCGAAAGCAUGGGGAGCGAACAGG